UCUGCACCUCACUACGCCUAAAAAGCCGAUCUCCGGCUCCCUCCUCGCCUUUUUCGGGGCUUCACCUUAUCCCGUUCGUUUCGACUCACGUCCGCACAGUUGUGCCGGAGGCUGAGCGUGCGCACUGGGUCUGUCUCUCCUCUCAGUCUCUCGCCUGCUGUUGGUGCGUGUGCGCGUCUCUGGCGCACUCGAUCUCGCUGUGAAGGUGCCACUCCCCUUUCCCACAGCGCAGACGGCGCCGCGGAGGCGGCGACGGCGCACCUCUGACGUUCGGCUUGAUAGCGAAGGAAAGCAGCAGAAAAAAAGGCCGCUGCCUGUGCAGUGCAGCUCACGAUGCUUCGCAAGUGCCCCCUGCUGCGGUGGCGUCCGGAGAAGCGGCUGCCGCUGCGCUUCCGGGACGUACCCGAGGAGUUCACCGACCUCCGCACUGCUGACAGCCGCCCAGUGCUCUUCACUGCCAAGCGGCCAGCCCCGCUGCGCGACGUGACGUGUCUCAGCGAUGUGCUGCUGGAUAGCACGGCUCUCUCGACGCACAACCCGGAGGAUAUAGCACAGAAGCCGGUGGCCAUCGUCGCCCCCGAGCGCAUGGGGCUCCCGGCCCAGCUCGUCUGGUACUUGGAGCACCGCUUCCUCGACACCAACCGUAGCCUCUCCACGACGGCCGCCGCCGCGACAUCUUCGGCGUCUUCCUCCUCAUUGUUUCAGGGCUUCACUGUUGCGCAGGCACGUAUCCUGCAGCACAUGUACGCCACGCAGGACGUCGCCGUCUGCGCCCCCACCGGCACGGGAAAGACAUUUGCGUUGUGUCUCGGCGCCGUUGCGCGACUCAUGCGCGAUGGACCCAUGAAGCUCCUCUCUACCAUCAUCCUUGUCAGCAACGACUACCUGUGCUGGCAAGUGGAGAGGUGGCUGCAGGAGAUGUGGUGGUACCCAAACGACGAUCGCCUGGUCUUCGCCGCCACGAGCAACCUCACUGAGGAGCACGUGUACCGCCGACUGACGAAGGAGAUCGUACGGGAUGAGAACCAGACACGAAAGAUUGUCGGCACCAUCGACAACCGACCGUACAUCGUGGUCACGACGCCGGACGUGCUCUGGCGCUUUUACAAGCGCCGCCGCUCUGCCAUUCAGAAGCGGGAGCAGCGCAAAAACAGAAAAGGCUACUCCUUCUCCCUCAUGCCGGUCCUGUCCACGGUCGACCUCAUUGUGGUGGACGAGGUGGACGAGGUGAUGCCGUCGACGCAACCGAGCGCCGCCGGCAAUCUGCUGCUCAAAGAGCUGUUUCGCUACACCAAGUAUCAGGCCCCCGUGCAGGUGGUCUUGACAAGUGCCACCCUGGCCGGGUCAACGGUGAAUCACAUCCGGCGUUACAUGAAGAAGAAUCUGCUGGCGGACCGCACAGCGCGGGUGUUUGAGGAGGCGAAGGAGUCGGCCACGCGACUGGCCGCUGUCUCGGACACGGUUUCACGCGCAGCCGUGCCGCAUGGCAUUCGGCAUCUCUUCUACACGGCUGACACCCAACAGGAGCAGCGACAGUGUCUCGCAAAGGUGCUCGCUGCGACGUGCCCCAGUCUGCACCCGCUGCGCUCCGGCGAGGGCAAAGCAGGGGAUGGCGAAUCGUCGGACCCCACAAGCGCCGCCGCUGCAGAGCAUCGGGACUACAUUCUCCUCAUUCUGCCGGACUGUGCCAAGGUGGAGGACUUUAUCAGCCACGUCCUUCUACCGGGUCAAGCGGAUGCGCUGCGGAUCCUCGGCUCACAAGAUAACGCGCGGUGCACCGACUACCUCGUGGAACGGCUGGACUCCACAGUGCAGGCUCAGCAGCAGCAGCGGCGCCGUGCCGAGACGCGCAAGUUCAUUCAGCGCACCGUGCGAAAGGCUGAAGCCUUGGACGGUGAUGUGGACUAUCCCUCCUCUGCGCCGCAGCCUUCCACUCUCUUUCGACGACUCGAGCGCGAGGUGAACGCGACGGCGGCACCCGUACACGCCACGGCGAGUGCGUCACAGGCGCCGACACCGAAACCGUUGGCGGCAUCGCCGGCAGUAUGUGCGGCAGACUCGCUGACAGCCUCGUCGUCUCCUCUACGGCCGCCGCGGCGCUGCUUCAUCACGUGCAACUGCAACAACGUGCGUGGACUGGAUCUGCCGCACCUGACCCACGUUGUCAUUCUCGCCCAGCCGACCACCGCACUCGAGUACGCGCACUGGUGCGGCCGAGUCGGUCGCUUUGGCCGUCCCGGCGUGUCGGCCACAUUAAUGGCGCGCAGCGCAACGCGCCGCAUGCACCAGUUCUGCGACUCUCUCGGGAUCGCGUUUCGUGUGGAGAAGCGGCAUGCAGAGGUGGACGUCAACGCGGAGCGUUGGCUGAGCGGCGCGGACGCGGCGUUAUAACCACACCCAAAACGGGCGAGCGCGAGCACCGCUUGCCGCCUUCACCCGCAUCAGCUCACGCUGCACGCCGCACUUCUUCGAUGGAUGCAGAGGAGCCGGAGGGGAAGCGCACAGGACACGAGAGAGGACAGCAUAGGACACGAAUUGUAAGUGUGUGUGCGCCCUUGACAGGCGCGGUUGCCGCUAGUGAGGUUGCUGCUUCUGUGGUAUCAUAGAGCAGCGGCGAUUGCACAACUAGAGUCCGGUCCCGCCUCUUCUCUGCCUUUCUCUUGGCCCUGCCACACGCGCCGGCAAGCGAACAUGAAGCGGCCGCCCUCCCCUGUGCCCGCUCCUUGUGCCUCCUUCCGAGGCCGGCAGGUGAGUGCGCGUCCGUCCCUGCGGAGAGGGACCUCUUUCUUGUGUCGCGUCUGUCUGCUCAUCUGAUGCGUCGUUGUACGCUCUUCGUGGGACACCACGGUGCGACGAGAUCCGGCGGGGAGUGCGAUCGGGUUGUGCUCUCUGUCUCUCGUCCCAGUGGAGGCGGUGGCGUUGCGCUGCCUGCCGGUGCUACUUCCAGCGUCGAUUGCCGUGGACGCGGAGGGCCCCGCGACCUCGUGGCCUCUUGUCUGCCGUUGUGCCUCGACCGGCCGUGUCUUGAGGGUCAGCCCCGCCCGUGCGACCGUCUGCAUGCCUCCACGUGGCGGUGCCGGAGGCUGGAAGGGCCCGCGGCUCCGCGCUGUCGCCCGUACACAAGCACAACAUAUAUGCGUAUCGCGGUGCUCCUGAGUAGGACGCACUGUACUCCUGGCGGUGCAGCCCUCGGCGCGACUCUCGCUUCUUCCAUCUCUGCCCCACCCCCCUCCCCCUCUGUCUCUCACGCCUGCAAAG
This 3258-nucleotide unclassified non-coding RNA is filed under the name Leishmania donovani. RNAcentral's name for it is "gene:LdHU3.32.4680(CDS-product:DEAD/DEAH_box_heli case_putative)". Lineage: Eukaryota; Euglenozoa; Kinetoplastea; Trypanosomatida; Trypanosomatidae. The record is from RNAcentral.